GAAUCUGGGAGGACCAUCUCCUAAGGCUAAAUACUCUCUAGUGACCGAUAGUGAACCAGUACCGUGAGGGAAAGGUGAAAAGCACCCCGGAAGGGGAGUGAAAUAGAACCUGAAACCGUGUGCUUACAAGUAGUCAGAGCCCGUUAAUGGGUGAUGGCGUGCCUUUUGUAGAAUGAACCGGCGAGUUACGAUUUGAUGCAAGGUUAAGCAGUAAAUGUGGAGCCGUAGCGAAAGCGAGUCUGAAUAGGGCGUUUAGUAUUUGGUCGUAGACCCGAAACCAGGUGAUCUACCCUUGGUCAGGUUGAAGUUCAGGUAACACUGAAUGGAGGACCGAACCGACUUACGUUGAAAAGUGAGCGGAUGAACUGAGGGUAGCGGAGAAAUUCCAAUCGAACCUGGAGAUAGCUGGUUCUCUCCGAAAUAGCUUUAGGGCUAGCCUCAAGUGAUGAUUAUUGGAGGUAGAGCACUGUUUGGACGAGGGGCCCCUCUCGGGUUACCGAAUUCAGACAAACUCCGAAUGCCAAUUAAUUUAACUUGGGAGUCAGAACAUGGGUGAUAAGGUCCGUGUUCGAAAGGGAAACAGCCCAGACCACCAGCUAAGGUCCCAAAAUAUAUGUUAAGUGGAAAAGGAUGUGGCGUUGCCCAGACAACUAGGAUGUUGGCUUAGAAGCAGCCAUCAUUUAAAGAGUGCGUAAUAGCUCACUAGUCGAGUGACACUGCGCCGAAAAUGUACCGGGGCUAAACAUAUUACCGAAGCUGUGGAUUGUCCUUUGGACAAUGGUAGGAGAGCGUUCUAAGGGCGUUGAAGCAUGAUCGUAAGGACAUGUGGAGCGCUUAGAAGUGAGAAUGCCGGUGUGAGUAGCGAAAGACGGGUGAGAAUCCCGUCCACCGAUUGACUAAGGUUUCCAGAGGAAGGCUCGUCCGCUCUGGGUUAGUCGGGUCCUAAGCUGAGGCCGACAGGCGUAGGCGAUGGAUAACAGGUUGAUAUUCCUGUACCACCUAUAAUCGUUUUAAUCGAUGGGGGGACGCAGUAGGAUAGGCGAAGCGUGCGAUUGGAUUGCACGUCUAAGCAGUAAGGCUGAGUAUUAGGCAAAUCCGGUACUCGUUAAGGCUGAGCUGUGAUGGGGAGAAGACAUUGUGUCUUCGAGUCGUUGAUUUCACACUGCCGAGAAAAGCCUCUAGAUAGAAAAUAGGUGCCCGUACCGCAAACCGACACAGGUAGUCAAGAUGAGAAUUCUAAGGUGAGCGAGCGAACUCUCGUUA
This 1263-nucleotide ribosomal RNA is filed under the name Staphylococcus aureus. RNAcentral's name for it is "partial 23S ribosomal RNA". It matches the Rfam family "Bacterial large subunit ribosomal RNA", at positions 440 to 1707 of the family's 2925-position model. Lineage: Bacteria; Bacillati; Bacillota; Bacilli; Caryophanales; Staphylococcaceae. The record is from RNAcentral.